UACAGAGGCCCCAAGCGUUACUGAGAAUCACUGGGUUUAAAGGGUGCGUAGGUGGCGCGUUAAGUUCGUUGUGAAAUCCCUGGGCUCAACCCAGGAAUUGCUUCGAAUACUGGCGUGCUUGAGGCUAGUAGGGGUCACUGGAACUGACGGUGGAGCGGUGAAAUGCGUUGAGAUCGGAAGGAACGCCCGUGGCGAAAGCGAGCUCCUGGACGUCUUCUGACGCUGAGACGCGAAAGCCAGGGGAGCGAACGGG
RNAcentral lists this ribosomal RNA (253 nucleotides) under uncultured bacterium. RNAcentral describes it as "partial 16S ribosomal RNA". It matches the Rfam family "Bacterial small subunit ribosomal RNA", at positions 524 to 776 of the family's 1533-position model. The record is from RNAcentral.